UUGCUCCUCUUCCCUUCGUUCCGUUGAAUGUUGUUCUGGUUCUUUCUGAUUUUCCUCAACUUCAGUAACCACAGGUUCACCUUUUACUGUUUCUGUAGGCUCAACUUCAGUAGCCACAGGUUCUUCUUUUACCGUUUCUGUAGCUUGAACUUCAGUAGCCACAGGUUCUUCUUUUACCAUUUCUCUAGGAUCAACUUCAGUAACCACAGGUUUGACUUUUACUGAUUCUGUCAGAUCAACUUCAGUAACCAGGGGUUCUUUUACUGUUUUUGUAAUUUCAACUUCUGUAGCCACAGCUUCUUCUUUUACUGUCUCUGUAGGAUCAACUUCAGUAACUAUAGGUUCGUCUUUUACCGUUUCUGUUGCCUCGAAUUCAGUAGCUGCAGGUUCAUCUUUUACCAUUUCUGUAGGCUCAACUACAGUUGUCACAGGUUCUUCUUUUACGGUUUCUGUAGCUUCAACUUCAGUAGCCACAGAUUCUUCUUUUACUGUUUCUGUAGCUUCAACUUCAGUAGCCACUGGUUCUUCUUUUACUGUUUCUGUAGCUUCAACUUCAGUAGCCACUGGUUCUUCUUUUACUGUUUCUGUAGCUUCAACUUCAGUAGCUGCAGGUUCGUCUUUUACCGUUUCUGUAGCCUCAACUUCAGUUGCCACAGGUUCUUCUUUUACCGUUUCUGUAGGCUCAACUUCAGUAGCCACGGGUUCUUCUUUUACUGUUUCUGUAGCUUCAGCUUCAGUAGCUAGAGGUUCUUCUUUUACCGUUUCUGUAGGAUCAACUUCAGUAACCACAGGUUCGUCUUUUACGGUUUCUGUAACCUUAACUUCAGUAGCUGCAGGUUCUUCUUUUACUGUUUCCGUAGCCUCAACUUCAGUAGCCACAAGUUCUUCUUUUAGUGUUUCUGUAGCCUCAACUUCAGUAACCACGGGUUCUUCUUUUACUAUCUCUGCAGUCGCAACUUCGGUAACCAUGGGUUCUUCUUUCACUGUUUCUGUAGGCUCCACUUCGAUGAUUUUGGUCUCUUCCGAUAUCGCUGCUGCUGUCUUCUCCUCAUUGGCCUCGACUGUAGAUUCAACAAUUGCAAUUGCUUUUGGUUG
RNAcentral lists this long non-coding RNA (1095 nucleotides) under Medicago truncatula (barrel medic). Its description in RNAcentral is "long non-coding RNA (MTRU_LNC006373)". The record is from RNAcentral. Lineage: Eukaryota; Viridiplantae; Streptophyta; Magnoliopsida; Fabales; Fabaceae.